GCACGGGGAGGUAGUGACAAAAAAUAACGAUACGGGACUCAUCCGAGGCCCCGUAAUCGGAAUGAGAACAUCCUAAAUCCUUUAACGAGGAUCUAUUGGAGGGCAAGUCUGGUGCCAGCAGCCGCGGUAAUUCCAGCUCCAAUAGCGUAUAUUAAAGUUGUUGCGGUUAAAAAGCUCGUAGUUGGUUCUGCGUGCCACGCUGUCGGUUCACCGCCUGUCGGUGCAACUGGCAUGUCGUGGCAUGUCCUGCCGGUGGCGGAUAGGCUUCGCGGCGCUCCCUACACGAUACGUCAUGUAGGUCGUCGCGUCGUCCUUGUACGCCGACUCAAUCCUACCGCGGUGCUCUUUACCGAGUGUCGAGGUAGGCCGGCACAUUUUACUUUGAACAAAUUAGAGUGCUUAAAGCAGGCUCUUAAAUCAGCCUGAAUAGUGGUGCAUGGAAUAAUGGAACAGGACCUUGGUUCUAUUUUGUUGGUUUUAGGAAUCCAAGGUAAUGAUCAAUAAGGACAGGCGGGGGCAUUCGUAUUGCGACGUUAGAGGUGAAAUUCUUGGAUCGUCGCAAGACGCACUAGAGCGAAAGCAUUUGCCAAGUAUGUCUUAAUUGAUCAAGAACGAAAGUUAGAGGUUCGAAGGCGAUCAGAUACCGCCCUAGUUCUAACCAUAAACGAUGCCAGCCAGCGAUCCGCCGAUGUUCUUUCGAUGACACGGCGGGGAGCUUUCCCCGGGAAACCAAAGCUUUUGGGUUCCGGGGGAAGUAUGGUUGCAAAGCUGAAACUUAAAGGAAUUGACGGAAGGGCACCACCAGGAGUGGAGCCUGCGGCUUAAUUUGACUCAACACG
RNAcentral lists this ribosomal RNA (839 nucleotides) under Probergrothius sexpunctatus. Its description in RNAcentral is "SSU rRNA". It matches the Rfam family "Eukaryotic small subunit ribosomal RNA", at positions 454 to 1207 of the family's 1831-position model. Lineage: Eukaryota; Metazoa; Arthropoda; Insecta; Hemiptera; Pyrrhocoridae. The record is from RNAcentral.